Molecule: ribosomal RNA, 253 nt
Filed under: uncultured bacterium
Lineage: Bacteria
Description: partial 16S ribosomal RNA
Rfam family: Bacterial small subunit ribosomal RNA
Source: RNAcentral
UACGAAGGGGGCUAGCGUUGCUCGGAAUUACUGGGCGUAAAGCGCGCGUAGGCGGCUUUGCAAGUCGAGUGUGAAAUCCCCAGGCUUAACCUGGGAACUGCAUUCGAGACUGCAUAGCUAGAGUAUGGGAGAGGGAAGUGGAAUUUCAGGUGUAGCGGUGAAAUGCGUAGAUAUCUGAAGGAACAUCAGUGGCGAAAGCGACUUCCUGGACCAAUACUGACGCUCAUGUGCGAAAGCGUGGGGAGCAAACAGG